RNAcentral lists this ribosomal RNA (273 nucleotides) under uncultured soil bacterium. Its description in RNAcentral is "partial 16S ribosomal RNA". It matches the Rfam family "Bacterial small subunit ribosomal RNA", at positions 26 to 312 of the family's 1533-position model. The record is from RNAcentral.
AGGACGAACGCUGGCGGCGUGCUUAACACAUGCAAGUCAAGGGGGCCCAGCAAUGGGCAACCGGCGAACGGGUGCGUAACACGUGAGCAACCUACCGAAAUGUGGGGGAUAGCCGGCCUAACGGCCGAGUAAUACCGCAUACGCUCUCGAUGAGGCAUUUCAUUGAGAGGAAACCUACGGGACAUUUCGAGGGCUCGCGGCCUAUCAGCUAGUUGGCGAGGUACGCUCACCAAGGCAACGACGGUAGCUGGUCUGAGAGGAUGGCCAGCCACA